This is a non-coding RNA of Pelobates cultripes (western spadefoot toad), 1275 nucleotides long. The record is from the annotation of a GenBank genome assembly. NCBI's taxonomy places the organism in Eukaryota, Metazoa, Chordata, Amphibia, Anura, Pelobatidae.
CAGAAGUUCAAUCCGCUGGAAGCCUUCCUCUUGGGCCAACCUCAACCUUUGGCUAGAGUAAGCAGACACUAUGCAUUUUGGGAUCUAGCUAUCAAGCUCAUCACUCUUAGAGAUAUUGAAACAGAAGGUGAAUGCAGUUGUCAGGUUUAACUUUAUCACAAAACUGUAAUGGCUCUCCUAUAACAAAACUAUGCAAGGGAUAUGCAGAUGGCAGAAUCAUUGCAGGAUCUGUGAUUUUGGUUUGCCUGGCACUGCAACACAGCAGUGAUGAGCGUAUGUGGCAUGUAUUACAACUGCACUUUAAUCCUGAGUUGGAUCAUCAAGGAAGAAGAAGGGCAGGGAAACAUAUCUGAAGGGAGAGGGUCUCAGCAAUUUUUAACUGCAUAUUGUAAUGGUUUCCAGCAUUUUAGUUCCUACUUCCUACCUUUCCUGAUCCUGGCUACUUGGCCUUUGGCUUGCAUUCUUGAUUAAGUGACUUUGCUUCAGAAUGCAGAUCUUGUUAAACCUAUCAUCUUGUUUAAGACACCUCUAUUACCCCUGUUUCCUGAUCCAGAUUUCAGACCGCACAUAUUUUUGUUCUGUUUUUCCCCUAGCUGUAGCUUUAUUUUUGCUCCUAGGGAACCUGUGUCUCUACAGGCCUUCCCUGGUAGAAGUCUUACCAAUGACGUGUAUCUUCAUGCACCUGGGUUGCAGGUCAUCCAAUGACGAGGCUCCAAGCCUGACAUGAAGGAAAGAAUAUAUAUUAAAUCACAGGUCAUGUUUGUCAGAUAACAGCACAUUCUCAGUUUAUCAGUUUUCAGUAUAUACACUUUUUUCUUUAUACAUACUUUGUCUUCAUGUUUCAAUCAGACACAUCACCAUUAAAGUAUAGCACUGCAUUAUUUCCAUAAAUUAUAAAAAGACAAACACAACUUGACAGUCAUAUAUUUCCAGACCGCUAACAAAUACACUGCAAGGGGUUGUAAAUAAUAUCUGCAUCCAAAGUCAGAAUAAAUUCAGCUGUUACCAGAAACAGAGGUAAAUUUUAAAUUGAACCCAUUGAUUUCUCCAUGAUCAGGGAGGGGGGUUGUCUGAUGAGAGAUGUUUCUCAAUUUUAACAUCUAAUUGUCAGUAUUUGUUUAGAGAUAAUAGUAUACUAGAUUUGAGAUGUCUUGUCUAUUACACUAAACUCCAAAUUUAACAAUUCCGAACCACCCCCGGGACAAACCGCAGAAUUGGGAACCUAUGCUGUUGUUCAUUUAUCUUUGGUUGUAGCAAAGCCCUACACACAAUAAG